RNAcentral lists this long non-coding RNA (307 nucleotides) under Olea europaea subsp. europaea. Lineage: Eukaryota; Viridiplantae; Streptophyta; Magnoliopsida; Lamiales; Oleaceae. The record is from RNAcentral.
ACAUACUUCAAGUAGUAGUCGUUGUAAACAUUAAAAUUAAAUAAAAAAAAUAAAGAAAAUGGAUUGGAUCAAUUUAAGUCAUCAGCCCCAUUAAAUUGAAGUCUAUUAAAGUCCAUAAAAUUCAAAGGCUCAUCCUAAUAAAUAAAUAAAUAUAUCAUAAUUAAUCAAUUAUUCAUUUUAAUUAAAUAUACCAAAAUUUGCAUGAUUUUUCUUCUAUAAAUAGGACCAAUGACCUAUGAGUGAAAAAGGGGAGUAGAAAAGCAAGCAAGAAAAAGCGAAAGUAGAGAAGGCAUAGCUUUCGUUUUUC